Molecule: ribosomal RNA, 392 nt
Filed under: uncultured bacterium
Lineage: Bacteria
Description: partial 16S ribosomal RNA
Rfam family: Bacterial small subunit ribosomal RNA
Source: RNAcentral
AUACGUAGGGAGCGAGCGUUAUCCGGAUUUAUUGGGUUUAAAGGGUGCGCAGGCGGCCAUUUAAGUCAGCGGUUAAAUCGUGGGGCUCAACCCCAUUCUGCCGUUGAUACUGGGUGGCUUGAUUGCGGUCGAGGUUGGCGGAAUUCGUUGUGUAGCGGUGAAAUGCAUAGAUAUGACGAAGAACACCGAUUGCGUAGGCAGCUGACCAGACCGCAAAUGACGCUCAUGCACGAAAGUGCGGGGAUCGAACAGGAUUAGAUACCCUGGUAGUCCGCACAGUAAACGAUGAAUACUUGUUUUCGGCGAUAUAAUGUCGGAGGCAAAGCGAAAGCGAUAAGUAUUCCACCUGGGGAGUACGCCGGCAACGGUGAAACUUAAAGGAAUUGGCGGGG